This 433-nucleotide ribosomal RNA is filed under the name uncultured bacterium. Its description in RNAcentral is "partial 16S ribosomal RNA". It matches the Rfam family "Bacterial small subunit ribosomal RNA", at positions 29 to 507 of the family's 1533-position model. The record is from RNAcentral.
AACGAACGCUGGCGGCCGGCCUAACACAUGCAAGUCGAGCGCGCCCUUCGGGGUGAGCGGCGGACGGGUGAGUAACGCGUGGGAACGUGCCCUUCUCUGCGGAAUAGCCUCGGGAAACUGAGAGUAAUACCGCAUACGCCCUUUGGGGGAAAGGUUUAUCGGAGAAGGAUCGGCCCGCGUUGGAUUAGGUAGUUGGUGGGGUAAUGGCCCACCAAGCCGACGAUCCAUAGCUGGUUUGAGAGGAUGAUCAGCCACACUGGGACUGAGACACGGCCCAGACUCCUACGGGAGGCAGCAGUGGGGAAUCUUAGACAAUGGGGGCAACCCUGAUCUAGCCAUGCCGCGUGAGUGAUGAAGGCCUUAGGGUUGUAAAGCUCUUUCAGCUGGGAAGAUAAUGACGGUACCAGCAGAAGAAGCCCCGGCUAACUCCGUG